Molecule: ribosomal RNA, 460 nt
Filed under: uncultured bacterium
Lineage: Bacteria
Description: partial 16S ribosomal RNA
Rfam family: Bacterial small subunit ribosomal RNA
Source: RNAcentral
CCUACGGGUGGCAGCAGUGAGGAAUAUUGGUCAAUGGGCUUACGCCUGAACCAGCCAAGUCGCGUGAGGGAAGACUGCCCUAUGGGUUGUAAACCUCUUUUGUCAGGGAGCAAUUGGCGCUACGUGUAGCGUUAUCGAGAGUACCUGAAGAAAACGCAUCGGCUAACUCCGUGCCAGCAGCCGCGGUAAUACGGAGGAUGCGAGCGUUAUCCGGAUUUAUUGGGUUUAAGGGGUGCGUAGGCGGAAUGCCAAGUCAGCGGUAAAACCGCGGGGCUCAACCUCGCUCCGCCGUUGAAACUGGCGUUCUUGAGUGGGCGAGAAGUAUGCGGAAUGCGUGGUGUAGCGGUGAAAUGCAUAGAUAUCACGCAGAACUCCGAUUGCGAAGGCAGCUUACUAAGCCAUAACUGACACUGAAGCACGAAAGCGUGGGGAUCAAACAGGAUUAGAUACCCUGGUAGUC